GAAACCAACCGGGAUUGCCUUAGUAACGGCGAGUGAAGCGGCAAAAGCUCAAAUUUGAAAUCUGGUACCUUCGGUGCCCGAGUUGUAAUUUGGAGAGGGCAACUUUGGGGCCGUUCCUUGUCUAUGUUCCUUGGAACAGGACGUCAUAGAGGGUGAGAAUCCCGUGUGGCGAGGAGUGCGGUUCUUUGUAAAGUGCCUUCGAAGAGUCGAGUUGUUUGGGAAUGCAGCUCUAAGUGGGUGGUAAAUUCCAUCUAAAGCUAAAUAUUGGCGAGAGACCGAUAGCGAACAAGUACAGUGAUGGAAAGAUGAAAAGAACUUUGAAAAGAGAGUGAAAAAGUACGUGAAAUUGUUGAAAGGGAAGGGCAUUUGAUCAGACAUGGUGUUUUGUGCCCUCUGCUCCUUGUGGGUAGGGGAAUCUCGCAUUUCACUGGGCCAGCAUCAGUUUUGGUGGCAGGAUAAAUCCAUAGGAAUGUAGCUUGCCUCGGUAAGUAUUAUAGCCUGUGGGAAUACUGCCAGCUGGGACUGAGGACUGCGACGUAAGUCAAGGAUGCUGGCAUAAU
Molecule: ribosomal RNA, 560 nt
Filed under: Saccharomyces cerevisiae (brewer's yeast)
Lineage: Eukaryota; Fungi; Ascomycota; Saccharomycetes; Saccharomycetales; Saccharomycetaceae
Description: partial large subunit ribosomal RNA
Rfam family: Eukaryotic large subunit ribosomal RNA
Source: RNAcentral